CCCCGCGGCCUAGUGGCGGACGGGUGAGUAACGCGUGGGCAACCUGCCCCAUACCGGGGGAUAACAGCCGGAAACGGCUGCUAACACCGCAUAAGCGCUGGGGGCCGCAUGGCUCCCGGCGGAAAACUCCGGUGGUAUGGGAUGGGCCCGCGUCUGAUUAGGCAGUUGGCGGGGCAGCGGCCCACCAAACCGACGAUCAGUAGCCGGCCUGAGAGGGCGGCCGGCCACAUUGGGACUGAGACACGGCCCAGACUCCUACGGAAGGCAGCAG
This 271-nucleotide ribosomal RNA is filed under the name uncultured bacterium. Its description in RNAcentral is "partial 16S ribosomal RNA". It matches the Rfam family "Bacterial small subunit ribosomal RNA", at positions 83 to 354 of the family's 1533-position model. The record is from RNAcentral.